GUGCUCACUUCAGCAGCACAUAUACUAAAACUGGAAUGAUACAGAGAACAUUAACAUGGCCCCUGCAGAAGGAAGACACACAAAUUCGUAAAGUGUUCCAUAUUUUU
Small nuclear RNA from Cercocebus atys (sooty mangabey), 107 nucleotides. The record is from Ensembl. Lineage: Eukaryota; Metazoa; Chordata; Mammalia; Primates; Cercopithecidae.